AGUCUUAUAGUUAAAAUAAUAAUAUUAAACUGCAAUUUUAAAGUUAAAUAAAAAAUUUAAGGCUU
RNAcentral lists this transfer RNA (65 nucleotides) under Meimuna opalifera. RNAcentral describes it as "tRNA-Cys". Lineage: Eukaryota; Metazoa; Arthropoda; Insecta; Hemiptera; Cicadidae. The record is from RNAcentral.